This 215-nucleotide unclassified non-coding RNA is filed under the name Hevea brasiliensis (rubber tree). Lineage: Eukaryota; Viridiplantae; Streptophyta; Magnoliopsida; Malpighiales; Euphorbiaceae. The record is from RNAcentral.
UACUUCUUCCCUGCAGAAGUAAGCCCACGAAGCUCCCUGUGCUUGUGGACAGGAUUGCAGAUCCAGUUGAUCCUUGGAUCAUUGCGGAUCGCAUUGUGUGCAGGAUCAACCAAGAUAACCUCAUAGUACUUGUAUGUUGAAUCCUCGUUAAGCCAAUAAGAGUUAAGAACCUUAAGGCCACCCAGCUUCCUACCAGCACGCUCCUCUGCAACUGA